This 23-nucleotide non-coding RNA is filed under the name Arabidopsis thaliana (thale cress). The record is from RNAcentral. Lineage: Eukaryota; Viridiplantae; Streptophyta; Magnoliopsida; Brassicales; Brassicaceae.
CACUCAUGUUGGAUUGAUUUUGA